CACGUAGGUGACCAGCGUUGUCCGGAUUUACUGGGCGUAAAGAGCGCGCAGGCGGUCGUUCAAGUCGAGUGUGAAAGCCCCCGGCUCAACUGGGGAGGGUCACUCGAUACUGAUCGACUUGAAGGCAGGAGAGGGAAGCGGAAUUCCCGGUGUAGUGGUGAAAUGCGUAGAUAUCGGGAGGAACACCAGUGGCGAAGGCGGCUUCCUGGCCUGUUCUUGACGCUGAGGCGCGAAAGCUAGGGGAGCAAACGGG
This 253-nucleotide ribosomal RNA is filed under the name uncultured bacterium. RNAcentral describes it as "partial 16S ribosomal RNA". It matches the Rfam family "Bacterial small subunit ribosomal RNA", at positions 524 to 776 of the family's 1533-position model. The record is from RNAcentral.